AGUGAACGCUGGCGGUAUGCCUAACACAUGCAAGUCGAACGGCAGCACAGUAAGAGCUUGCUCUUACGGGUGGCGAGUGGCGGACGGGUGAGGAAUACAUCGGAAUCUACUUUUUCGUGGGGGAUAACGUAGGGAAACUUACGCUAAUACCGCAUACGACCUACGGGUGAAAGCAGGGGAUCUUCGGACCUUUCGCGAUUGAAUGAGCCGAUGUCGGAUUAGCUAGUUGGCGGGGUAAAGGCCCACCAAGGCGACGAUCCGUAGCUAGUCUGAGAGGAUGAUCAGCCACACUGGAACUGAGACACGGUCCAGACUCCUACGAGAGGCAGCAGUGGGGAAUAUUGGACAAUGGGCGCAAGCCUGAUCCAGCCAUACCGCGUGGGUGAAGAAGGCCUUCGGGUUGUAAAGCCCUUUUGUUGGGAAAGAAAAGCAGCAGGUUAAUACCCCGCUGUUCUGACGGUACCCAAAGAAUAAGCACCGGCUAACUUCGUG
This 492-nucleotide ribosomal RNA is filed under the name uncultured bacterium. RNAcentral's name for it is "partial 16S ribosomal RNA". It matches the Rfam family "Bacterial small subunit ribosomal RNA", at positions 29 to 507 of the family's 1533-position model. The record is from RNAcentral.